Molecule: non-coding RNA, 191 nt
Organism: Clostridium tetanomorphum DSM 665
Lineage: Bacteria; Bacillati; Bacillota; Clostridia; Eubacteriales; Clostridiaceae
Source: Rfam
AAAUAAUAUAUGUAAUGGAGUUUUCUGUAAAGUUUUGUAGAAAUUAAAAGGGAAUGAGGUUUGAAUCCUCAACGGUCCGGCCACUGUAAUUGGUGAGCUACUUCCAGUAUGCCAUUGAGAAUAUUCUUGAGAAGGCGGAAGUAAAGCUAUGAUCCAUAAGUCAGGAUAUCUGCUUCAUUAAUUAUAAUUGA